This is a long non-coding RNA of Octopus bimaculoides (California two-spot octopus), 756 nucleotides long. The record is from RefSeq and is a predicted model, not a curated record. NCBI's taxonomy places the organism in Eukaryota, Metazoa, Mollusca, Cephalopoda, Octopoda, Octopodidae.
ACAACAGCCCCUUCCACCACCACCAGUGGCAGUAACAGCAGUUGGCGUCACAGACCGACAAUGCUUUCCUUAGAAACGAGGGUAGUUACGGUGGUAACCAGGAACCAAAUAAAAAAUAAAAACAUUCAUGUCACGCUAGGAGAGAAAGUACGGAAGGCUUAUAUAUAGAAGACAAAAAACACAGAUGGAAAAGAUCGCCAAGUCAGCCAAGAGAGGAUAAAACAUACAUACAUUCAUGUGUGUGUACAUGUGUACAUAUAUAUAUGUAUAUACAUGUGAAACCCGUCUGAAGGCAAUUAUUUCGAAGAUUACUCAAGAUUAAGAAGAAAACCAAGUGCUGCUGUAAAAAGAGAAGAGAAUAGUCGCUUAUCUCUGCUGCCUUCCAACAAGAGCAACAGCAACAAUUGAAAUUAAUAAUAAUAAUAUAUAAUAAUAAUAAUAAUAAUAAUAAUAAACAGAGUACAUAUAUUAAGUGUAAAUUUCGGUACCUUCAAGAAUUCCCAAUUGGUAUUACAUCUGUUUCGGUUUUCCUAGCAGACAUGCCUUUAGCCAGAACUCCUCUUGAAAUUGCACAGGUGUGCAAGCUAAUUCAGCUGGUUUACGAAAAGGACAAAGUUGAAAUCCAAAAACUGAUCGGCGAAGGAAUCCCUCACCUAAUUAACUACAAUGAACCGACUUUCGGCCGGACAGCUCUCAUAGUCGCCACUAUGUCCAACAGCGACAACAUUCUCGAGUUUCUGCUCGGGCUCGGUGCCC